CCGGAGGAAGUGGGAUGAUGUCAAGUCAGCAUGGCCUUUAUAUCCUGGGCUACACACACGCUACAAUGGCCAACACAAUAGGUUGCUAAGCCGCGAGGUGGCGCCAAAUCCAUAAAGUUGGUCUCAGUUCAGAUUGUAGGCUGCAACCCGCCUGCAUGAAGAUGGAGUUGCUAGUAACCGCAGGUCAGCUAUACUGCGGUGAAUACGUUCCCGGGGCUU
This 219-nucleotide ribosomal RNA is filed under the name uncultured Leptolinea sp. Its description in RNAcentral is "partial 16S ribosomal RNA". It matches the Rfam family "Bacterial small subunit ribosomal RNA", at positions 1163 to 1382 of the family's 1533-position model. Lineage: Bacteria; Bacillati; Chloroflexota; Anaerolineae; Anaerolineales; Anaerolineaceae. The record is from RNAcentral.